This 1487-nucleotide ribosomal RNA is filed under the name uncultured rumen bacterium. RNAcentral's name for it is "bacterial SSU rRNA". It matches the Rfam family "Bacterial small subunit ribosomal RNA". The record is from RNAcentral.
AGAGUUUGAUCCUGGCUCAGGAUGAACGCUGGCGGCGUGCUUAACACAUGCAAGUUGAGCGGUUUCUUUCAAAUGAGACUUCGGUGGAUUUUGGAAGAGAUAGCAGCGGACGGGUGAGUAAAGCACAAGGACGUGCCCUGAGGCGGGGGACAACUACGGGAAACCGUAGCUAAUACCCCGUAAGCCGAGAGGUGAAAGCAGCAAUGCGCCGAAGGAGCGACUUGUGUCCUAUCAGGUAGUUGGUGAGGCAACGGCUCACCAAGCCGAAGACGGGUAGCCGGACUGAGAGGUUGUACGGCCACAUUGGAACUGAGAGACGGUCCAGACUCCUACGGGAGGCAGCAGUGGGGAAUAUUGGGCAAUGGGCGGAAGCCUGACCCAGCGACGCCGCGUGAGGGAAGACAGCCUUCGGGUUGUAAACCUCUGUUGCAGGGGAAGAAGGAAGUGACGGUACCCUGCGAGGAAGCUCCGGCUAACUACGUGCCAGCAGCCGCGGUAAUACGUAGGGAGCGAGCGUUGUCCGGAAUUACUGGGCGUAAAGGGCGCGAAGGCUGCGAUUCAAGUCAACUGUCAAAUUCCAGGGCUUAACCCCGGCCUGCAGUUGAAACUGAAUUGCUCGAGGCGCAGAGAGGCAGACAGAAUUCCUGGUGUAGCGGUGAAAUGCGUAGAUAUCAGGAAGAAUACCAGUGGCGAAGGCGGUCUGCUGGCUGCGAACUGACGCUCAAGCGCGAAAGCCAGGGGAGCAAACGGGAUUAGAUACCCCGGUAGUCCUGGCAGUAAACGAUGUAUGCUGGGUGUGAGAUCAGCGAUGAUUUCGUGCCGAAGUUAACGCGAUAAGCAUACCGCCUGGGGAGUACGGUCGCAAGAUUGAAACUCAAAGGAAUUGACGGGGGCCCGCACAAGCGGUGGAGCACGUGGUUUAAUUCGAUGCAAACCGAAGAACCUUACCUGGGUUUGACAUGCAAGUGUUAGGAGCUGGAAACAGCGACGAAUUUACCGCAAGGUAAAUAGCUUGCACAGGUGCUGCAUGGCUGUCGUCAGCUCGUGUCGUGAGAUGUUGGGUUAAGUCCCGCAACGAGCGCAACCCCUGCGGCUAGUUGCCAUCAAUACGGUUGGGCACUCUAGCAGGACUGCCAUCGACAAGAUGGAGGAAGGUGGGGACGACGUCAAGUCAUCAUGGCCCUUAUGUCCAGGGCGACACACGUGCUACAAUGGACGGUACAGAGGGAAGCGAGGCAGUGAUGUUGGGCGGAUCCCGAAAAGCCGUUCUCAGUUCGGAUUGAAGUCUGCAAUUCGACUUCAUGAAGCUGGAAUCGCUAGUAAUCGCAGAUCAGCCAAGCUGCGGUGAAUCCGUUCCCGGGCCUUGUACACACCGCCCGUCACACCACCCGAGCCGGGUGUACCCGAAGCCGGUGGCCUAACCGCAAGGAAGGAGCCGUCGAAGGUGUGUCUGGUGAGGGGGGUGAAGUCGUAACAAGGUAACCGUA